Molecule: ribosomal RNA, 250 nt
Filed under: uncultured bacterium
Lineage: Bacteria
Description: partial 16S ribosomal RNA
Rfam family: Bacterial small subunit ribosomal RNA
Source: RNAcentral
ACGUAGGCGGCAAGCGUUGUCCGGAAUUAUUGGGCGUAAAGGGAGCGCAGGCGGGAAACUAAGCGGAUCUUAAAAGUGCGGGGCUCAACCCCGUGAUGGGGUCCGAACUGGUUUUCUUGAGUGCAGGAGAGGAAAGCGGAAUUCCCAGUGUAGCGGUGAAAUGCGUAGAUAUUGGGAAGAACACCAGUGGCGAAGGCGGCUUUCUGGACUCUAACUGACGCUGAGGCUCGAAAGCUAGGGUAGCGAACGG